AUUGAACGCUGGCGGCAGGCUUAACACAUGCAAGUCGAGCGAUCCGCGGACGGGUGAGUAAUCUCUGGGAAACUGCCCGAUGGAGGGGGAUAACUACUGGACACCGUAGCUAAUACCGCAUACCAUCAUAUGUGCCCAGAUGGGAUUAGCUAGUAGGUGGGGUAAUGGCUCCCCUAGGCGACGAACCCUAGCUGGUCUGAGAGGAUGACGAGCAACAAGGGAAGAGAGACGCGGGCCAGACUCCUACGGGAGACAGCAGGGGGGAAUAUUGCAGAAGGGGCGAAAGCCUGAUGCAGCAAUGACGCGUGUGUGAAGAGGGCCUUGGGGUUGUAAAGCAAUUUCAGCGAGGAGGCGUAACUCGAAGAAGAAGCACCGGCUAACACCGGGCCAGCGGCCGCGGUAAUA
This 405-nucleotide ribosomal RNA is filed under the name uncultured bacterium. RNAcentral describes it as "partial 16S ribosomal RNA". It matches the Rfam family "Bacterial small subunit ribosomal RNA", at positions 29 to 525 of the family's 1533-position model. The record is from RNAcentral.